RNAcentral lists this ribosomal RNA (305 nucleotides) under uncultured bacterium. RNAcentral describes it as "bacterial SSU rRNA". It matches the Rfam family "Bacterial small subunit ribosomal RNA", at positions 335 to 638 of the family's 1533-position model. The record is from RNAcentral.
GUUCCUACGGGGGGCAGCAGUGAGGAAUAUUGGUCAAUGGCCGGAAGGCUGAACCAGCCAAGUCGCGUGAGGGACGACUGCCCUAUGGGUUGUAAACCUCUUUUAUAAGGGAAGAAUAAAUGCUACGUGUAGCAUGAUGCCUGUACCUUAUGAAUAAGCAUCGGCUAACUCCGUGCCAGCAGCCGCGGUAAUACGGAGGAUGCGAGCGUUAUCCGGAUUUAUUGGGUUUAAAGGGUGCGUAGGCGGGCUGUUAAGUCAGCGGUAAAAGCCCGGGGCUCAACCCCGGCGAGCCGUUGAAACUGGCU